Thalassophryne amazonica is the source of this 290-nucleotide long non-coding RNA. RefSeq lists it as uncharacterized. The transcript has 2 exons. The record is from RefSeq and is a predicted model, not a curated record. Lineage: Eukaryota; Metazoa; Chordata; Actinopteri; Batrachoidiformes; Batrachoididae.
ACUUAACAUCUUCUGUCCUCAUCUUUGGACGCACAAUUUUCCACCCAUAACUGUGAGGUUGGCCGCAGGGCUGAAAUCUCUUUACUGCUGAAGUUACCUCUGUAGGUUUCAUGCUGUACCUUCAUUUCAUGUCCAUCUGAAGGAGACAAGACACACAGAGCCAGACGAAUCGAACAGGAGCAUGUCCUUCUCAGUGUCUCUUUUGUUUUCUGUGAGGAUUGUGUCCAAACAGCUGCCAAACACUGAGAAAUGUUUCACCUGUUUUCAGGCACAUAACUCAAAUAAAUAAA